AAUUGUUUAAAGCUUAAUGACUCCAAAACUGAAAUUGUUGUAUUUGGUAACUCAUGUGAUGCCACUGCUCUGGGCCCUUUGAAUAUCUAUUGUCACGAGUCUGCUAGGAAUCUUGGGGUUGUUUUGGACAGUUCAUUUAAAUUUGACAGACAAAUAAGUUCAGUCGUCAAAAAUAGCUUUUUUCAGCUGCGUUUGCUCAGCAAAAUCAAACCCUAUUUGCCUCAUGGUGACCUGGAGCGUGUCAUUCAUGCUUUUAUUACGUGUCGCUUAGAUUAUUGUAACUCUCUGUACUGUGGGCUCGAUCAAACGUCCAUCCGUCGUCUGCAGUUGGUUCAAAACGCAGCGGCGCGUUUGCUCACAGGAACGAGGAAAUGUGAGCACAUAACUCCUGUGUUGGCCUCUCUGCACUGGCUUCCAGUCAGCUUUAGGAUUCAAUUCAAGAUACUGUUGAUGGUUUUUAAAUGCCUGAAUGGGUCGGCUCCAUCUUACCUUUCGGAGCUUUUGUUGAUCCAUGAUCCAGGUCGUACAUUGAGAUCCUCCAAUCAAAUGACUCUGGAGGUGCCAAUAGCUAAGCGUGAAACCAGAGGAGACCGGGCUUUUGCCGUAGCGGCUCCGAGACUCUGGAACAGCCUUCCGCUAAAUGUCAAAAUGGCCCAGUCCAUUCAUGUUUUUAAGUCGUUGUUGAAAACUCAUCUUUUUGCUUUGGCCUUCAACACAAGCUGAGCAGAUCCCAUGUAUUUUAUUAUUAUUGUUUCAUGUUGUAUAUUUUGUGACUGUUUUUACUCUUCAAUUGUACUUUAUAAUGUUUGUUGUACAGCACUUUGGGCGGUUGUGGAUGUUUUUAAGUGUGCUAUAUAAAUAAAGUUGACAUUGACAUUGACAUUGACAUCAUUCAAACAGCUUUUUCCCACAACAUUCCCCCGUUGGGACUCUAUUGAGUUCCACACAAACUAUCCAAAACAAAAAGCUGGAUAAAUGUUUACAAGGCACACAAAACUUGCAUAAACUGUGUAGACCCAUACAA
Molecule: long non-coding RNA, 1024 nt
Filed under: Neogobius melanostomus (round goby)
Lineage: Eukaryota; Metazoa; Chordata; Actinopteri; Gobiiformes; Gobiidae
Description: lncRNA (ENSNMLG00000017687.1)
Source: RNAcentral